GAGGGUGUAGCUCAAGUGGCAGAGCGAAUGCUUAGCAUGCAUGAGGUCCUGGGUUCAAUCUCCAGCACCUGCA
This 73-nucleotide transfer RNA is filed under the name Camelus ferus (Wild Bactrian camel). It matches the Rfam family "tRNA". From Rfam's summary of the family: Transfer RNA (tRNA) molecules are approximately 80 nucleotides in length. Their secondary structure includes four short double-helical elements and three loops (D, anti-codon, and T loops). Lineage: Eukaryota; Metazoa; Chordata; Mammalia; Artiodactyla; Camelidae. The record is from Rfam by way of RNAcentral.